Molecule: ribosomal RNA, 460 nt
Filed under: uncultured bacterium
Lineage: Bacteria
Description: partial 16S ribosomal RNA
Rfam family: Bacterial small subunit ribosomal RNA
Source: RNAcentral
CCUACGGGAGGCAGCAGUGAGGAAUAUUGGUCAAUGGCCGAGAGCCUGAACCAGCCAAGUAGCGUGAAGGAAGACGGCCCUACGGGUUGUAAACCUCUUUUGUCCGGGAGCAACGAGAGUCACGUGUGACUCAUUGAGUGUACCCGAAGAAAAAGGAUCGGCUAACUCCGUGCCAGCAGCCGCGGUAAUACGGAGGAUUCGAGCGUUAUCCGGAUUUAUUGGGUUUAAAGGGUGCGGAGGCCGGAUGGCAAGGGCGCUGUGAAAUUUCCGGGCUCAACCCGGGUCUUGCGGUGGAAACUGGCUGUCUUGAGUGCGCGAGAAGUAGGCGGAAUUCGUGGUGUAGCGGUGAAAUGCAUAGAUAGCACGAAGAACUCCGAUUGCGAAGGCAGCUUACUGGAGCGGAACUGACGCUGAUGCACGAAAGCGUGGGUAUCGAACAGGAUUAGAUACCCGAGUAGUC